Molecule: transfer RNA, 72 nt
Filed under: Dipodomys ordii (Ord's kangaroo rat)
Lineage: Eukaryota; Metazoa; Chordata; Mammalia; Rodentia; Heteromyidae
Rfam family: tRNA
About the family: Transfer RNA (tRNA) molecules are approximately 80 nucleotides in length. Their secondary structure includes four short double-helical elements and three loops (D, anti-codon, and T loops). Further hydrogen bonds mediate the characteristic L-shaped molecular structure. tRNAs have two regions of fundamental functional importance: the anti-codon, which is responsible for specific mRNA codon recognition, and the 3' end, to which the tRNAs corresponding amino acid is attached (by aminoacyl-tRNA synthetases). tRNAs cope with the degeneracy of the genetic code in two manners: having more than one tRNA (with a specific anti-codon) for a particular amino acid; and 'wobble' base-pairing, i.e. permitting non-standard base-pairing at the 3rd anti-codon position.
Source: Rfam by way of RNAcentral
AGAGGUGUGGCUCAGUGGUAGAGCAUCUGCUGAGUAAGCAGGAAGCCCUGAGUUCAAACCCUUGUCCUUCAA